AUUGAACGCUGGCGGCAUGCUUUACACAUGCAAGUCGAACGGCAGCACGGGGGCAACCCUGGUGGCGAGUGGCGAACGGGUGAGUAACACAUCGGAACGUGUCCAGUUGUGGGGGAUAACCCAUCGAAAGGUGGGCUAAUACCGCAUGAGCUGGCAACAGGAAAGCGGGGGACCCGCAAGGGCCUUGUGCGAUUGGAGCGGCCGAUGUCCGAUUAGCUAGUUGGUGGGGUAAAGGCCUACCAAGGCUUCGAUCGGUAGCUGGUCUGAGAGGAUGAUCAGCCACACUGGGACUGAGACACGGCCCAGACUCCUACGGGAGGCAGCAGUGGGGAAUUUUGGACAAUGGGGGCAACCCUGAUCCAGCCAUG
RNAcentral lists this ribosomal RNA (368 nucleotides) under uncultured bacterium. RNAcentral's name for it is "bacterial SSU rRNA". It matches the Rfam family "Bacterial small subunit ribosomal RNA", at positions 29 to 396 of the family's 1533-position model. The record is from RNAcentral.